This 326-nucleotide ribosomal RNA is filed under the name uncultured Pseudomonas sp. RNAcentral describes it as "bacterial SSU rRNA". It matches the Rfam family "Bacterial small subunit ribosomal RNA", at positions 1057 to 1382 of the family's 1533-position model. The record is from RNAcentral. Lineage: Bacteria; Pseudomonadati; Pseudomonadota; Gammaproteobacteria; Pseudomonadales; Pseudomonadaceae.
GGCUCGUGUCGUGAGAUGUUGGGUUAAGUCCCGUAACGAGCGCAACCCUUGUCCUUAGUUACCAGCACGUUAUGGUGGGCACUCUAAGGAGACUGCCGGUGACAAACCGGAGGAAGGUGGGGAUGACGUCAAGUCAUCAUGGCCCUUACGGCCUGGGCUACACACGUGCUACAAUGGUCGGUACAAAGGGUUGCCAAGCCGCGAGGUGGAGCUAAUCCCAUAAAACCGAUCGUAGUCCGGAUCGCAGUCUGCAACUCGACUGCGUGAAGUCGGAAUCGCUAGUAAUCGUGAAUCAGAAUGUCACGGUGAAUACGUUCCCGGGCCUU